This 84-nucleotide small nuclear RNA is filed under the name Zalophus californianus (California sea lion). Its description in RNAcentral is "U4 spliceosomal RNA (ENSZCAG00015020410.1)". It matches the Rfam family "U4 spliceosomal RNA", at positions 1 to 84 of the family's 138-position model. From Rfam's summary of the family: U4 small nuclear RNA (U4 snRNA) is a component of the major U2-dependent spliceosome. The structure of U4 snRNA from yeast and human has been reported. Lineage: Eukaryota; Metazoa; Chordata; Mammalia; Carnivora; Otariidae. The record is from RNAcentral.
AGCUUUGCGCAGUGGCAGUAUCGUAGCCAAUGAGGUUUAUCCGAGGUGCGAUUAUUGCUAAUUGAAAACUUUGUCUCCCACCUG